UACGGAGGGUGCAAGCGUUAUCCGGAUUCACUGGGUUUAAAGGGUGCGUAGGUGGGCAGGUAAGUCAGUGGUGAAAUCUCCGGGCUUAACCCGGAAACUGCCGUUGAUACUAUCUGUCUUGAAUAUAGUGGAGGUGAGCGGAAUAUGUCAUGUAGCGGUGAAAUGCUUAGAUAUGACAUAGAACAUCGAUUGCGAAGGCAGCUCGCUACGCUAUUAUUGACGCUCAGGCGCGAUAGCGUGGGGAUCAAACAGG
RNAcentral lists this ribosomal RNA (253 nucleotides) under uncultured bacterium. Its description in RNAcentral is "partial 16S ribosomal RNA". It matches the Rfam family "Bacterial small subunit ribosomal RNA", at positions 524 to 776 of the family's 1533-position model. The record is from RNAcentral.